AUGGUUAUUAAAGCUGCCGUGACCAAAGACUCAUCCCUUGUUCUCUCCGACCCUCGUCCUCUCGCCUUCAAGUCCACUGCAGACCUUUCUUCUUUCCAUCCACCUGGAGUCUCCCUCUGCCCGGCACGCCUGAAGCCUCCACCGCAGCCAGCAGCUGAACCAACGUGGACAUCGUCACGGAGAACGGGCCUGAUCACCCAUCUACUUCUAGCCACCUGGCAGAAAACCGCCAGCUUGACCGCCUCACCCGCUGCUGUCUCAGGGAGGCACAUCCCAGUUGCCCACAUGCAAGGAGGCUGUCAAACAGAGAAAUCACUGCAGACUGUUGGUACACGGACAUCUGUUGCCCAGCUCAGGAGUAAAGGUGAUGGUGAGGACAGCCACAGCUUCCAUCUUGUAGAGGACUGCUUCCGCUCAGUCUUUCCAAAUAGUGAUGAGAACAAGGAUCACCACAUCUCCGUUUUCCCUACUUUCAUGCAUUUCGUCUGCAAGGCCCUGCAAAAGCUUCUGUCCUCAAACCCCCAGACUUCUUAAUUAACUCAGUAACCUAUACAUUGCACAUCGGAGUGUGAAGGUAACAGUUUGUUCUAGCUUUGAAGUAGUGGUGCAUUUUUUUGGUUGACAAUAAAGUUGGCUUUAACUAUUACGUAUUUCA
RNAcentral lists this long non-coding RNA (655 nucleotides) under Betta splendens (Siamese fighting fish). RNAcentral's name for it is "lncRNA (ENSBSLG00000015188.1)". Lineage: Eukaryota; Metazoa; Chordata; Actinopteri; Anabantiformes; Osphronemidae. The record is from RNAcentral.